RNAcentral lists this ribosomal RNA (460 nucleotides) under uncultured bacterium. Its description in RNAcentral is "partial 16S ribosomal RNA". It matches the Rfam family "Bacterial small subunit ribosomal RNA", at positions 338 to 795 of the family's 1533-position model. The record is from RNAcentral.
CCUACGGGUGGCAGCAGUGGGGAAUAUUGGACAAUGGACGAGAGUCUGAAGCAGCCAAGUAGCGUGAAGGAUGAAUGCCCUAUGGGUUGUAAGCUUCUUUUAUAUGGGAAUAAAAUGUUCCACGUGUGGGAUUUUGUAUGUACCAUAACAAUAAGGAUCGGCUAACUACGUGCCAGCAGCCGGGGUAAUACGGAGGAUCCGAGCGUUAUCCGGAUUUAUUGGGUUUAAAGGGAGCGUAGGUGGAUUGUUAAGUCAGUUGUGAAAGUUUGCGGCUGAACCGUAACAUUGCAGUUGAAACUGGCAGUCUUGAGUACAGUAGAGGUUGGCGGAAUUCGUGGUGUAGCGGUGAAAUGCUUAGAUAUUACGAAGAACUCCGAUUGCGAAGGCAGUUCACUGGACUGUAACUGACACUGAGGCUCGAAAGUGUGGGUAUCAAACAGGAUUAGAUACCCGAGUAGUC